Molecule: long non-coding RNA, 262 nt
Filed under: Apteryx owenii (little spotted kiwi)
Lineage: Eukaryota; Metazoa; Chordata; Aves; Apterygiformes; Apterygidae
Description: lncRNA (ENSAOWG00000016199.1)
Source: RNAcentral
CAGUAGCCCCCCAGUGCCCCCUUAGUUCCCCCUAGUGCCUCCCAGUGGCCCCCCAGUUCCUCCCAGUGCCCCCUCAGCGGCGGGGGCCCCUCACCGGGGGCCGGGGGGAGACAGGCCCGGGCUCAGUCCUCCUCCUCGUCCUCGCCGCCCCGAGCUACCCGGGGCAGGAGGAGGAGGAGGAGGAAGUCCUCGAUCUUCAGCCCCAGGAUGUAGUCGAGCUUCAUCUUGCCCUCGUCCAGCACCCCGAUGCGCACCAGGCGCC